Pogoniulus pusillus (Red-fronted tinkerbird) is the source of this 1583-nucleotide long non-coding RNA. RefSeq lists it as uncharacterized. The transcript is spliced from 3 exons. Lineage: Eukaryota; Metazoa; Chordata; Aves; Piciformes; Lybiidae. The record is from RefSeq and is a predicted model, not a curated record.
ACAGAAGCCCCAAGCUGUGCCCAACUGGGCAGAGGGAUCCUCCUCCCGUUGUCGCUGUUGGAUAGCUGGAUUCUGACUACAGAGGAAAAAGUCUGUUCACUACAACAGAAAACUUUAAGUGGCAAAGAAAGCCACCAGGAUGCUGUGUUGCAUCAAGAAGGGCAUCACCAGCAGAGAUCGAGAAGUAAUUGUCCUACUCUACUGAGUGCUGGUCAUACUAUACCUGGAGCCCUGUCUGCUAUACAAGAAAGAACAUGGAUAGGCUGGAAAGUGUCCAAAGAAGUGCCACAAGACCGACCACGGGACUGGAAAUGCUGCCAUGCAAGGUAAGCUCCCAUGGUGAUGCAGAGCAAUGAAGGUGGGAAGCCUUGGUGAGCCUAGCAGUAAUAUGCCUUCCAAGGGGCCAGAAGAAAGUCAUGUAGCAAGAAAAACGAGUAGCAGGAGGCACUGCUAAAACUUGCUGUGUUUGUUAGUUUACUGCUGUAACAAAGAUAUAAUCUGUCUUUUAGAGCUGGAGCUUAAAACUAUCCUCAGAACAAUUGGGGUUUGAUCCUGUGCCAUCUCAAAUCUUUUCCAAGCCCCUCAGGGAUUUUGGAGUUGCCCCUGUACAUGGUGGGCCAGUUGCCACUCACUGUUGCACUGGGGGACAUCCAGAGGUGUCCCUGUGACAUUAAAAUAAACUAACUUGGACCCCUGAAGAUCUCAGUUGUUUAGCCACCUCAGAGCACUGAUGUACAGUAUCCUCCAAUCUCACUGCACCUGAAACACUCAGGAUCUGUGACUGGGUUGGCCUACAACAAGCCCAAUUACCCCAACUUCAAGAAAACCACAAGCACAUGAUGCAGAUCUCUGAACAAACCUCUAACCGCAGCACCUGGAGUAGCUCAGCUCUGCCUGGCAAUGGCAGACUGGCUCUAGAAGGGAAUAUUUUUCUGGCUUUCAAGUACCUGCCAUGGAGUGAGGCACUGGCUCAUUUUCCUCACUGCAUGGGCAUAGCUAGCUCACUUAUUCACUGUUCUCCUCCCCAGCGUGGCUCCAAGUUUAUGGCUCAGGCUAUGCCCUGCUAUGUCCAUGCUUUUGGUCUCAUGCCACAAUCCAAUUUACCUGGCAGCUUACCACAUUUCUUCUCUGGUGCUGGAUUGUUUUCUGUCUCCCUCUGACUUGGCUCUUAGCCUGUAGAAUAGCUUUAAUUAAAAAGUUAAUGAAAGGUGAUGCAAACGAGCACUUUGCCUGUAUUUUAUCACAGUCCAGCUCUUCUCCCUCCCUCUUUCCCAGAGAUGGUGAAAAUGAGGAGCUGGGAUUUUGCUUUUUGUGGAGACUUAACAAUAGAAAAUUCUGCAGGCUUAGGAGGAGCCCUAUGAAGAAAGUGCUUAUAAUGGUAAUGCACGGAAACAAGUAUGUAAAUGGUGAACAUCCUUCAGCAAUGACAGCUGAGGAAGUUUUCAUUUAAAGAGGAUUAAUCUAAAACCCUUGCAGUCCUCCUGCUCUCUUUGGACAGGCAAUUCUUAGCAUCACUUUCCUCCUAAGCUUGAUGCAAACUUCUAGAAAAUGUUCUGAGAGACUGUCUGUCCCCCAGCUCCAAA